GGGCGCAAGCCUGAUGCAGCCAUGCCGCGUGUAUGAAGAAGGCCUUCGGGUUGUAAAGUACUUUCAGCAGUGAGGAAGGUGGAUGUGUUAAUAGCGCCUUCAUUUGACGUUAGCUGCAGAAGAAGCACCGGCUAACUCCGUGCCAGCAGCCGCGGUAAUACGGAGGGUGCGAGCGUUAAUCGGAAUUACUGGGCGUAAAGCGCAUGCAGGUGGUUUGUUAAGUCAGAUGUGAAAGCCCGGGGCUCAACCUCGGAAUUGCAUUUGAAACUGGCAGACUAGAGUACUGUAGAGGGGGGUAGAAUUUCAGGUGUAGCGGUGAAAUGCGUAGAGAUCUGAAGGAAUACCGGUGGCGAAGGCGGCCCCCUGGACAGAUACUGACACUCAGAUGCGAAAGCGUGGGGAGCAAACAGGAUUAGAUACCCUGGUAGUCCACGCCGUAAACGAUGUCUACUUGGAGGUUGUGGCCUUGAGCCGUGGCUUUCGGAGCUAACGCGUUAAGUAGACCGCCUGG
Molecule: ribosomal RNA, 511 nt
Filed under: Vibrio sp. 8Bf2S53
Lineage: Bacteria; Pseudomonadati; Pseudomonadota; Gammaproteobacteria; Vibrionales; Vibrionaceae
Description: bacterial SSU rRNA
Rfam family: Bacterial small subunit ribosomal RNA
Source: RNAcentral